UACGUAGGGCGCAAGCGUUAUCCGGAAUUAUUGGGCGUAAAGAGCUCGUAGGUGGUUUGUCGCGUUGUUCGUGAAAACCGGGGGCUUAACCUUCGGCGUGCGGGCGAUACGGGCAGACUGGAGUACUGCAGGGGAGACUGGAAUUCCUGGUGUAGCGGUGGAAUGCGCAGAUAUCAGGAGGAACACCGGUGGCGAAGGCGGGUCUCUGGGCAGUAACUGACGCUGAGGAGCGAAAGCGUGGGGAGCGAACAGG
RNAcentral lists this ribosomal RNA (253 nucleotides) under uncultured bacterium. RNAcentral describes it as "partial 16S ribosomal RNA". It matches the Rfam family "Bacterial small subunit ribosomal RNA", at positions 524 to 776 of the family's 1533-position model. The record is from RNAcentral.